RNAcentral lists this ribosomal RNA (496 nucleotides) under uncultured soil bacterium. Its description in RNAcentral is "bacterial SSU rRNA". It matches the Rfam family "Bacterial small subunit ribosomal RNA", at positions 26 to 530 of the family's 1533-position model. The record is from RNAcentral.
AGAUUGAACGCUGGCGGCAUGCCUUACACAUGCAAGUCGAACGGCAGCACGGGAGCAAUCCUGGUGGCGAGUGGCGAACGGGUGAGUAAUACAUCGGGACGUGCCCAAUCGUGGGGGAUAACGCAGCGAAAGCUGUGCUAAUACCGCAUAAGAUCUACGGAUGAAAGCAGGGGAUCGCAAGACCUUGCGCGAAUGGAGCGGCCGAUGGCAGAUUAGGUAGUUGGUGAGGUAAAGGCUCACCAAGCCUUCGAUCUGUAGCUGGUCUGAGAGGACGACCAGCCACACUGGGACUGAGACACGGCCCAGACUCCUACGGGAGGCAGCAGUGGGGAAUUUUGGACAAUGGGCGAAAGCCUGAUCCAGCCAUGCCGCGUGCAGGAUGAAGCCUUCGGUUGUAAACGUGCUUUUGUACGGAACGAAAAGUACUCUUUCUAAUAAAGAAGGAGUCAUGACGUAACCGUAAGAAAUAAAGUACACCGGACGUAACUAACGUACG